GUGCGUGGACGUCGGCGGCCUACUGCGUCGACAGGUUGUUCAAAUUCAUUUGUGGCUUGUUUUUCUUGUCUUUUUCUGUUUUGCAGGGUUCGUGAUCGUCGACAGGUGGACAUCGACUUCGAAGAGGAAACAACUGUCCUGGAUGAGGUCCAGUUGGAUGUGCCAUUGGAUGAUGUGCCAGAUGUUCCACAGCUGCCAGUCCUCUUGAUGUCCAGAAUGCUGCUAUCAUCCUUGAGGAUGUGCCAGAUGUGCAGACUAUCCUUGAGGAGGCCACUGGCAUUUGGCAGUUGAUUCUGAUUAGGUUCAGCCCCCAGUACUGUGGGCCUGUUGUGAUCAGGAACAAUGCCGGUCCGGUGGUU
This is a long non-coding RNA of Oncorhynchus kisutch (coho salmon), 359 nucleotides long. RefSeq lists it as uncharacterized. The record is from RefSeq and is a predicted model, not a curated record. Lineage: Eukaryota; Metazoa; Chordata; Actinopteri; Salmoniformes; Salmonidae. The transcript is spliced from 4 exons.